GCUGACUAUGUUCCACAUGGAGGAGAGUUUUCAUCUUGGUUCGUUCAAGGAUUGAGGAAAGGAUUUUGAGUGAAGAAGGACACACUGACAGCAUUCAAACUCGGAAGGAAAGAGUCCCCAUGAGGUGGGGAACUGAAGAAGGAAUGGACAUUUCAGCAACUGAAGCAAUCAAGGGAGGAAAAGGUUAUAUCCAUGUAACUGCACAUCUGACACCACUGCAG
Molecule: long non-coding RNA, 221 nt
Filed under: Anser brachyrhynchus (Pink-footed goose)
Lineage: Eukaryota; Metazoa; Chordata; Aves; Anseriformes; Anatidae
Description: lncRNA (ENSABRG00000007364.1)
Source: RNAcentral